This is a long non-coding RNA of Lycium barbarum (goji berry), 664 nucleotides long. RefSeq lists it as uncharacterized. The transcript has 2 exons. NCBI's taxonomy places the organism in Eukaryota, Viridiplantae, Streptophyta, Magnoliopsida, Solanales, Solanaceae. The record is from RefSeq and is a predicted model, not a curated record.
AUACCUAGACACACUGUAAAUAGCUAAAGAUAGACAAUAAGACCCUACACUACAACAUCACGGCCGCACCUAGCAGCUGGAAAAAAACCACCACACCUAAAAAUCAUGAGCCACAAUUUACCAAAAAGAAAAACCAUAAAAAACCUACACUAGAGAUCAGCCGCAUACUACACCAACACACAAAUCAUCCUAAUAGACUAAUCUCACUACACCAUACUAGCCGCAGCACCAAAAAGAAGACCUAGACUAAUCAACCGGACCAGAAAAUAAUCAGCUGCAAAUCGAGAGGUUCUUCGAGUUUUUGGUUCGAGGUUGAAAAGUCGAGGUUUCCAGUCCAAAGUUGUUGAAAUCUCUUAAAGGAUGUUGCAUCAUGAUCCUUGACAUAAUGCCAACAAAGAACACUUUUUUUAUUGGUGCUUCAAAAGAAAGGAGGUUUAUAAAGCCACAUGGAGUAUUCCCAGGACGACUCCCUAAGAUUAUUGAUCAAGUCAAUGCAUUGGACAUCAUGAGGUACAUGCAAAGCCUCAGAUGUACGAGAUGGAGGUGCAACUGCUGUUGGUAGCGCCAUAAGCAUGAUACACGAAGAAGCCAAUAUGUAAAGUUAUAAAAGUUUAUCUUUAAUUUUUUGCGACUAGCUACAAACUAUAUGUCGACCUUAAAAUCA